AAAGCUAGCCCAACUACCCCACCCCACUAUAAAUAAAACAAAGCAUUUAACCACCAACUUAAAGUAUAGGAGAUAGAAAUCUGAGACCAUUUGGCGCAAUAGAGAUAGUACCGUAAGGGAAUGAUGAAAGAAGCAACAAAAGUAUCAAAAAGCAAAGAUCACACCUUGUACCUUUCGCAUAAUGAUUUAACUAGCAAAACCUUAGCAAAGAGAACUUAAGCUAAGCCACCCGAAACCAGACGAGCUACUUAUGAACAGUUUACCAGAACAAACUCAUCUAUGUGGCAAAAUAGUGAAAAGAUUUAUAAGUAGAGGUGAAAAGCCUAACGAGCCUGGUGAUAGCUGGUUGUCCAGAAAAAGAAUCUAAGUUCAAUUUCAAAAUUACCAAAAGCCCAAAUCAAGCCUAAUGUAAUUUUAAAAUUUAGUCUAAAAAGGUACAGCUUUUUAGACAAAGGAUACAACCUUGACUAGUGAGUAAAUUCAAACAACACCAUAGUUGGCCUAAAAGCAGCCACCAAUUAAGAUAGCGUUCAAGCUCGACAAUAAGCACAACCUAAUUCCCAUAUCAAGCAAACAACUCCUAGCCUAACUACUGGACUAUUCUAUUCAAACAUAGAAGCAAUACUGUUAAUAUGAGUAACAAGAAACAAUUCUCCCAGCACAAGCCUACGUCAGCAACUGAUAAUAUACUGACAGUUAACAACAAGUAAAUAUAACCUAACACUAAAACAUUUACCCCAUACACUGUUAACCCAACACAGGCGUGCACCCAAGGAAAGAUUAAAAAAAGCAAAAGGAACUCGGCAAA
This 808-nucleotide ribosomal RNA is filed under the name Hippopotamus amphibius (hippopotamus). RNAcentral's name for it is "partial 16S ribosomal RNA". The stretch from base 155 to 632 matches the Rfam family "Bacterial large subunit ribosomal RNA", at positions 573 to 1301 of the family's 2925-position model. The record is from RNAcentral. Lineage: Eukaryota; Metazoa; Chordata; Mammalia; Artiodactyla; Hippopotamidae.